RNAcentral lists this ribosomal RNA (383 nucleotides) under Cupriavidus taiwanensis. Its description in RNAcentral is "bacterial SSU rRNA". It matches the Rfam family "Bacterial small subunit ribosomal RNA", at positions 434 to 812 of the family's 1533-position model. Lineage: Bacteria; Pseudomonadati; Pseudomonadota; Betaproteobacteria; Burkholderiales; Burkholderiaceae. The record is from RNAcentral.
UGUCCGGAAAGAAAUGGCGCUGGUUAAUACCCGGCGUCGAUGACGGUACCGGAAGAAUAAGCACCGGCUAACUACGUGCCAGCAGCCGCGGUAAUACGUAGGGUGCGAGCGUUAAUCGGAAUUACUGGGCGUAAAGCGUGCGCAGGCGGUUUGAUAAGACAGGCGUGAAAUCCCCGAGCUCAACUUGGGAAUGGCGCUUGUGACUGUCAGGCUAGAGUAUGUCAGAGGGGGGUAGAAUUCCACGUGUAGCAGUGAAAUGCGUAGAGAUGUGGAGGAAUACCGAUGGCGAAGGCAGCCCCCUGGGACGUCACUGACGCUCAUGCACGAAAGCGUGGGGAGCAAACAGGAUUAGAUACCCUGGUAGUCCACGCCCUAAACGAUGU